AAACAAGAAGCUAAUCAGCAAUCAGUUUCGACCUGACCAAUAGGUGUAACAAUUAAUCACCCUUGUUUU
This 69-nucleotide transfer RNA is filed under the name Acorhinotermes subfusciceps. RNAcentral's name for it is "tRNA-Arg". The record is from RNAcentral. Lineage: Eukaryota; Metazoa; Arthropoda; Insecta; Blattodea; Rhinotermitidae.